This 217-nucleotide unclassified non-coding RNA is filed under the name Hevea brasiliensis (rubber tree). The record is from RNAcentral. Lineage: Eukaryota; Viridiplantae; Streptophyta; Magnoliopsida; Malpighiales; Euphorbiaceae.
AAGAUCUUGGAUAGAACAGCAGACAUAUAAAUAAGCUCUAUAGUUCCAAAUAUAAGUGGAAACAAGAGAGCCAGAAACAAAUUUGUUUGCCAUAUCAGUAGCAUUACGACUGUAACCAAAGUCGUGCUAACCAUCAUGACACCAACUUCAGCUAUGCCAUAGGCAUUAGAUAUGUCUGUCGUGCUCUGGAAGACAGCAACCACAAGCAUGCACAUUA